CACGUAGGGUGCGAGCGUUGUCCGGAAUUAUUGGGCGUAAGAGCUCGUAGGCGGUGUGUCGCGUCGGCCGUGAAAACCUGCAGCUUAACUGUGGGCUUGCGGUCGAUACGGGCAUCACUGGAGUUCGGCAGGGGAGACUGGAAUUCCUGGUGUAGCGGUGAAAUGCGCAGAUAUCAGGAGGAACACCGGUGGCGAAGGCGGCUUUCUGGGCCCUACCUGACGCUGACGACGCGAAAGC
This 238-nucleotide ribosomal RNA is filed under the name uncultured bacterium. RNAcentral describes it as "partial 16S ribosomal RNA". It matches the Rfam family "Bacterial small subunit ribosomal RNA", at positions 524 to 760 of the family's 1533-position model. The record is from RNAcentral.